UCACGUUAAUCUCCCGAACACCUAAACCCUAAAACCCAAAAAUAAUUUCAUUCAAAAAAAAACCCAAAAACCAGCAAAAUCUGAAAAUCUUUAGUCCCGCUCCGUGUAACGAACCGGGACUAAAGGGCCUGCCCCUGGGGCGCUACGUGGAGCACCUUUAGUCCCGGCAUGUAAGAGGGCCGGGACGAAAAGGUUAGGCCCUUAGUCCCGCCCCUUUAGUCCCGGUUGAUGAACCGGGACUAAAGCCCCUUACGGGCCGGGGCUAAAGGCCCUGUCCCCACUAGUGGUAGCGAUGCCCUUGUGCGGAUUUCCCAUUUGAAUCCCUUCCCAAGGAGAUGAUUUUUGGUCCUAGAUUGUGGUUCUGGUAUCUUUGUUCUUCCUCUCUCAAAUCCAAUCACAAUGGUUGAAGUAGUUAACCAGGGGAGGCAGCACCAUGCAUAUGACCCCUGGUACAAGCUAGUAUGGUCGUACCACACGUUGUAUUCUCUCUCGGAUGGUUCUCACGGCUAGUUUUUAUCCCACUCGCUGAAAACUUCGUAAGGUAGUUCAUUAUCUUGUCAAUUAACAUGAUUUUCACCCAUAAAUGUAUCUUUUCCAAUUAAUGAUCCAAAUAGCUUUCCCCGCGGGGUCCUCAUAAAGUUAGGUUGAUAAAGUUGUGUGAACGUGGUAAAACUCUAAAAACCAUAUUGCUAAGAUGCAAAACAAAAGGUGGAAAGUGAUGCAAAAUUUGGAAUUCUACAAUGGAAAAAAUCCCUAUCAAGUAUUUGGGGCUGAAAAUGCAAUUGCCUGUUAUUCAAGGGAGAAUGGCAACUGAUGUUGGAUGUAGUUAGAGAUGUUCUUUCGGCUAGGCAAAGAGGGUUCCUAGGGCAUUUGGGACGUUUGGUAUUGGUUUAGUCAAGAAUCUCAGCGAGUUCCACUUAGGAUGUAUGAUGUCGUGAUGGGUCAUAUUGUGAUGACAGAGCACAUGUGUCAUGAUCAUUUGACGAGGUAUCUGAAUGCUUCUCAUGCUUCAAAUACCGCUCAUUCCAAACAGGUCGAUGCAUGCAUGUUUGUGGGCUGAUGAAUAUCCAUGGUAGCGCAUGAAACAUCAUUUAUCGUCCAUAUAGAGUGCUUAGCUAGCUCUAUAUGCAAACUUCAUGCUUAUAUAGGAACAACAAACUAACGCUAACUAGUGCAGGCUCGGUGCAGGAUAGAUCACAUGUGCAAAAAAGAGGAAGUGUAUGCACCACAAAACUAGAUACUCAAUACUUGUACCUCAAAGAUUUAUAUAGCCAAGGUGUUGUAUGUGGCAGAGAAAAAGUGGUAGUAAACUACAGACCGUCGGGCUAUAAGAGUAUUUAAUAUCGUCGUCCUAUGUAAUGGGAAUGGAUUCUCUCUUGACCAUAUUAAUGUAUGUAUAGGAACAUGGUAGGGAGAUGUGUACAUGAACAUUACGCUAGUAAACUUAUCGUUGCACAAAACACAUGCUCACUUAAAUUGUAAAGAAAAUAGGCACUAAAUAUGGCCAUCCACCAUCAAUUCUUAGUGAACGUUUUUUAGGAAUUUCUGAAAUCUUUGAUAUGGUCUCACCUUAUAGAUGUUAAGCGGGGAUAGAGCAGCCCAUUGAUUGUUCGCUCAUGCUUGAUGAUGCACGGUGCAUAUAAUAUAUGGACCAACCGCCCGCGACUUUGUAUUAUACUAAGGAGAUUUUUGAAACAUCGAUUUAUUGUUUUUAUUUAAAUCUAUCGAAAAGGAUCGAGAUGGACCUAGAGGGGGGGUGAAUAGGUAUAAAUCCAAAUUUUAAUAAUUACUUAGCAAUUUUAGGCAAAAGUGCGGAAUAUGAGUGUAGGCCUAAUAAUUGCUACGACAAGG
RNAcentral lists this long non-coding RNA (1851 nucleotides) under Hordeum vulgare. Its description in RNAcentral is "long non-coding RNA (HVUL_LNC013814)". The record is from RNAcentral. Lineage: Eukaryota; Viridiplantae; Streptophyta; Magnoliopsida; Poales; Poaceae.